CCUGAAUUUUCCCUUGAGAAGGGUCUGGCUGCAGCCACUGUGGAGCUCCACAGUAACCGGAAACACGUGACCUCCACAGUAACCGGAAACACGUGACCUCCACAGUAGGCAGAAAUACGUUCCUGCGUGGAUCAUCGACUGUGGAAAUCUUGCAAGUGGAUCGUAAAGAUGCUCAUAUCAAUUUGGAGUUCUGCCUCCAAGCCAGAAUUACAGGAAUGCACAACAUGUUGCAGAAGACUCUUUCACUGCCCUCUGUGCCCCACUUUCAGCCCUACUGUCAAGGCAAAGAUUGAGGAGUAUAUAAAUGGACACAUUAAAAAUGCUUUGCCUUUCAAAGACAAAAUGAUAUACCGGUGCACUUUCACUGCCCUGUCUGUAACAUGACAGUAAUACAGCGUGGGGAUAUGGCAAGGCAAUUUUUCUCAUGUCAGCAUUCAGGACUGCUCCCCACUGAACUCUCCGUGGAGCCCCAUCUCCCUCUCGAUGUCUUGUCUCCAGUAUCUAAACCAUUUUCUGAAUCUUCAGUAGAACAUUCAUGUGCUCGACCCUCUGUGCUAAAUGAAACUGUGGCUUGUGGAAAGUCCUUGAAAAUGAAACGCCCUCACUGUGGUCUUAGUCUUCUUAAAAAAAACUUCAAGGCUCACAUGAUGAGGAGGCAUUCAAACAGAUCAAUAGAUGUUUGCCUGGCCUGUCAUCUGCAGUGUUUUUGUGUAGAGGGACUUUUUCCUCUUUGUUUUUCAGUUUGCAGAGGACAUGGAGCUCUUUUUAAAAGCUUGUGCUGAUGAGCAGGGACUACGGGUCAAUGCGAUGUUUGACAUUUAAUGGACAGAUGAAGUCACUGGCUGUUUGUUUGUGUUUUUUAUGUGGUGUUGUUUGUUUUUCAGUGUACAGAAUUCCAGUUAAACUUAUUAUUAAAUAUUCACUUGUUUCCAUGUCCAUACUUAUAGUAAAAAAAUUAAGUGUAAAUGCAACAGCAUUGUUUAUACUUGUAACUUCAGAGUAAAAAGCUUAUUGUUGAUAUUAACAUUAAUAUAUUACCCUGUAAUCAAUAAUAUUUUUAUACAUUUUACGCAUCAACCCUCUGGGCUCUAUCCUGGCCAUUUGUGGCCACUUGACUUCUCUUUUUUUUUUUUUUUUGACGACUACACUGCAGUGGACCAAAAGAAUGACAUAGGUUUGAUCUUAAGGAUCUAAUACUUGUGUGUGUUUGUGCAUGACAUUGCAAUGCAAAUAUGUAUUUGCAAGAUAAACUGAAAUAAAUUAUGACGCAUCAAAUAUUA
This is a long non-coding RNA of Oreochromis aureus, 1280 nucleotides long. Lineage: Eukaryota; Metazoa; Chordata; Actinopteri; Cichliformes; Cichlidae. The record is from Ensembl.